This 453-nucleotide ribosomal RNA is filed under the name Flavobacterium sp. G4. RNAcentral describes it as "bacterial SSU rRNA". It matches the Rfam family "Bacterial small subunit ribosomal RNA", at positions 1 to 454 of the family's 1533-position model. The record is from RNAcentral. Lineage: Bacteria; Pseudomonadati; Bacteroidota; Flavobacteriia; Flavobacteriales; Flavobacteriaceae.
UUUGGAUUCCCUGGCUCAGGGAUUGAAACGCUAGCCGCAGGGCCUAAUACAUGCAAGUCGAACGAUAGAUAAAGGCUUGCUCUUUAUCGAAAGUGGCGCACGGGUGCGUAACGCGUAUGCAACCUACCCUUAAUCAGGGGGAUAGCCCGGAGAAAUCCGGAUUAAUACCGCAUAAAAUCACAGCACUGCAUAGUGCAAUGAUCAAACAUUUAUGGGAUUGAGAUGGGCAUGCGUGUCAUUAGCUAGUUGGCGGGGUAACGGCCCACCAAGGCGACGAUGACUAGGGGAUCUGAGAGGAUGACCCCCCACACUGGUACUGAGACACGGACCAGACUCCUACGGGAGGCAGCAGUAAGGAAUAUUGGUCAAUGGAGGCAACUCUGAACCAGCCAUGCCGCGUGCAGGAAGACUGCCCUAUGGGUUGUAAACUGCUUUUAUCCGGGAAUAAACCUC